This is a non-coding RNA of Salmo salar (Atlantic salmon), 1003 nucleotides long. The record is from RefSeq and is a predicted model, not a curated record. NCBI's taxonomy places the organism in Eukaryota, Metazoa, Chordata, Actinopteri, Salmoniformes, Salmonidae.
AUAUCCCUUCUGCCCCCUCCUACUCGUGUUUUUGGCCGACAGAUAUUGCACUACAGUAUUUUUCAGACCAUCAUAAAUAGAUCUCUGCCGUUGCUAUAGAGAGAAAUAUUAAUGGAGUCUUUUUGUAGGCCCUAACUCCGCCAUGUUCGUUGGACAAAGCCUAUGAGGAAAAUUAAUGGCGUAUUUGUAGGAUUUUGGAUAAACACCGAAAAUAAGGUCUGUGGGAAACACAGAUAUAGGAUAUCGUAUUUGUUCUAUUAGAUCAACUUCAUUAGCUAACAUCACUUUUAUUUCAUGUUGGAAGUUGUUUGGUAAUAAUAAUAAAAAACACAUACAUCUCAUAAAGUUAAUGUAAACUGACUGCUAUUAUUUCAUAAAACACAACAAAUAAGAUAUCCUAAGCCUGUGUUAAAGAAGCAUUAUGUCGAAUUGUUGCAUUAUAAUGUCAUAAUAUAUCUGCAGUAAUAGUAGAAUGAUAGUGUUUAACGUAUAAAUAUAUAAUGCUUUGGGCUCUUACAAAACACUCCAUAUGUAACGGAUGUGAAAUGGCUAGUUAGUGGUGGUGCGCGCUAACAGCGUUUCAAUCGGUGACGUCACUUGUUCAGCAAGGGCCGCGGCUUUUGUGGAGCGAUGCUUCGAGGGUGGCUGUUGUCGAUGUGUGCAGAGAGUCCCUGGUUCGUGCCCAGGUGGCGGUAAUUACGUUGGUGGCGGUAAUGACAGAUUUUAUUGUGCUGUAAUUUAAACUAGAAGAUCUGACGUCCUUUCCCUUCGCCAAAGGCAGCACAAAGUCGGACGUGGAAGUUUGGACCAGUCAGAUAAAGCAGACUCUCACAGCCAAGAGGACGUUGUUCCUUACCUGGCAGGAGAGACGCAUGGGAACUCACACAGAACAACAGUAAGUCGUACCAUUUCCGGAGACCUUCUCCCUUACCUCACCUCGCUCAUCAACUCAUCCUUGACCGCUGGCUACGUCCCUUCCGUCUUCAAGAGUGUGAGAGUUGCA